RNAcentral lists this ribosomal RNA (25 nucleotides) under Nodulosphaeria aconiti. RNAcentral describes it as "partial 28S ribosomal RNA". Lineage: Eukaryota; Fungi; Ascomycota; Dothideomycetes; Pleosporales; Phaeosphaeriaceae. The record is from RNAcentral.
UUUGACCUCGAUCAAGUAGAUCCCG